UCAAUGACGCCAACUGUUUUGUUCGUUGUUCUCACAUAUUUCGUUUGUGGAAGAACGAACAAGACUGUAGAUGUCAUUGA
This 80-nucleotide microRNA precursor is filed under the name Anopheles gambiae (African malaria mosquito). RNAcentral describes it as "microRNA aga-mir-10379 precursor". Lineage: Eukaryota; Metazoa; Arthropoda; Insecta; Diptera; Culicidae. The record is from miRBase by way of RNAcentral.